RNA transcript from Odobenus rosmarus divergens (Pacific walrus), 1510 nucleotides. It is a transcript of the gene named cytochrome P450 2A3-like, with no coding region annotated. The transcript is spliced from 8 exons. The record is from RefSeq and is a predicted model, not a curated record. Lineage: Eukaryota; Metazoa; Chordata; Mammalia; Carnivora; Odobenidae.
CGUCUCUCCCAGUGCCACCAUGCUGGCCUCAGGGCUGCUUCUGGUGGCUUUGCUGGCCUCCCUGACCAUAAUGGUCUUGAUGUCUGUCUGGAGGCAGAAGAAACUCUGCGGGAAUCUUCCUCCGGGACCCACCCCAUUGCCCUUCAUCGGAAACUACCUGCAGCUGAAUACACAACAGAUGUACAACUCUCUCAUGAAGAUCAGCGAGCGAUAUGGCCCGGUCUUCACGGUCCACCUGGGGCCCCGGCGCAUCGUGGUGCUGUGUGGAUACAAGGCGGUGAAGGAGGCUCUGGUGGACCAGGCUGAGGAGUUCAGCGGCCGAGGUGAGCAGGCCACCUUGGACUAUCUCUUCAAAGGCUAUGGCGUGGUAUUCAGCAACGGGGAGCGAGCCAAGCAGCUCAGGCGCUUCUCCAUCACCACACUGCGGGACUUUGGAGUGGGCAAGCGCGGCAUUGAGGAGCGCAUCCAGGAGGAGGCGGGCUUCCUCAUCGAGGCCCUCCGGGGCACACGCGGUGCCUUCAUCGAUCCCACCUUCUUCCUGAGCCGAACCGUGUCCAAUGUCAUCAGUUCCAUUGUCUUUGGGGACCGCUUUGACUACGAGGACGAAGAGUUCCUGUCACUGCUGCGUAUGAUGCUGGGAAGCUUCCAGUUCACAGCUACCUCUAUGGGGCAGCUCUAUGAGAUGUUUUCCUCAGUGAUGAAGCACCUGCCAGGGCCACAGCAACAGGCAUUUAAGGAGCUGCAGGGUCUCGAGGACUUCAUAGCCAAGAAGGUGGAGCAGAACCAACGCACCCUGGACCCCAACUCCCCGAGGGACUUCAUCGACUCCUUCCUCAUCCGCAUGCAGGAGGUGACUAGGACGCGGCACCAAUAAUGCUUAUGGUCAAGGUCUGUUUUGAAUCAUCUACGUCCAUAUCACACAUGGAUGUACAUAUUUGGACUAUCAUCUCCACCCUGAGACUGCUAGAUACCUAAACACUUUCCCCCUCCUCCCACAGCCAAGGUCCAUGAGGAGAUUGACCGGGUGGUUGGCACGAACCGUCAGCCCAAGUUUGAGGACAAGGCCAAGAUGCCCUACACAGAGGCGGUGAUCCACGAGAUCCAAAGAUUUGGAGACAUGAUCCCCAUGGGCGUGGCCCGGAGAAUCACCAAGGACACCAAGUUUCGAGAGUUCCUCCUCCCCAAGGGCACUGAAGUGUUCCCUAUGCUGGGCUCCGUGCUGAGAGACCCCAAGUUCUUCUCCAACCCCCGAGACUUCCACCCCCACCACUUCCUGGAUGAGAACGGGCAGUUUAAGAAGAGUGAUGCUUUUGUGCCCUUCUCCAUUGGAAAGCGGUACUGUUUUGGAGAAGGCCUGGCUAGAAUGGAGCUCUUUCUCUUCCUCACUACCAUCUUGCAAAACUUCCGCUUCAAGUCCCCGCAGCUGCCCCAAGACAUCGACGUGUCCCCCAAGCUCGUGGGCUUUGCUACCAUCCCACGAAAUUACACCAUGAGCUUCCAGACCCGCUGA